GAAGUUGAACAGACCAACCUGGACAAUGAGCUUUCAGCUGUUUUCAGAAGCAAAGCAGGUCAGGUCUGGUUAGUACUCAGAUGGGAGACUGCAAGGGAAAUGUUAGAAUUCUGCA
RNAcentral lists this ribosomal RNA (115 nucleotides) under Pogona vitticeps (central bearded dragon). The record is from RNAcentral. Lineage: Eukaryota; Metazoa; Chordata; Lepidosauria; Squamata; Agamidae.